UCCCUCUCCCAAUAACCCCUAACUUCUCUAUCUCUACCAUCUCUUCUGUAAUUGUUACAUUCCCUUUUCUUCUUAUUGUUACCCGCCUCGUCCCAAUUACGAGUACGUUUCCUAUUCAUAAACCUAUCUCCCUCCCUAGAAUUAUUAACAUGCCCUCUACCUGAAAGGUUACUCCUUUCACUCUGAUAACUACAAACCCUAGCUCUCUUCCUAUCCUUGUCUCCUUCCUCUUUCGAGAAUUCGUCUCUCUUACCGCCAUUCUUUUGCAACCCAUUCUCCUUCACUGUCUCCUUAGCAAUAACCUGAGGAGUUACAGUAACCUCGUUGAUUUGAGAAUUGGUAUCAGAAACGCCAUUGUUUGGUAAGCCUCCACCGUUCUUGAUACUAUCUAAAAUGUGAUCAAUCCCACCGAAAAAAUCAUUGAUGACGCCGUUUUCAUCAGUGGAUUCAUUGACAGCAACAGAGGAAGGAUCAAAUUCAGACACGAGAUCAUCGAUAAGAUCACAAGAGAUGUCCUCGCAAGCAUCUAGCCAAUAAGAAGGCUUUAUUGUGGCUUCUCUAGGCUCAUCCUCCAUUACCAUAAUUCUAUAUAAUAAUCAAAUCAAGAACAUAAGAAAGAGGAGAAAAACUCACUCAAGAAAACCAAAUCCCCAGAGAAGAAAACAGAACCAAAAGCACGAGAAUUGAAUAAACCCAGAAAAAGGGGUGAGAGAAGAAGAGUGUUUUGUGACAGAUUAGGGUUAGAUAGACCGUACGAAACACGCCAAUUUUGAAGUUGUUGUUUGCAG
Molecule: long non-coding RNA, 788 nt
Organism: Arabidopsis thaliana (thale cress)
Lineage: Eukaryota; Viridiplantae; Streptophyta; Magnoliopsida; Brassicales; Brassicaceae
Product: other RNA
Exons: 1
Source: RefSeq